This is a long non-coding RNA of Triplophysa dalaica, 1659 nucleotides long. RefSeq lists it as uncharacterized. Lineage: Eukaryota; Metazoa; Chordata; Actinopteri; Cypriniformes; Nemacheilidae. The transcript has 3 exons. The record is from RefSeq and is a predicted model, not a curated record.
UAAAUUUACAAAGAAAAUCAAACACAAAGUCCAGAAAAUGGGCAAAUUACUAGAAACUCGUAAGCAAACUGCUAAAUAUUCUAAAAUUUAUGAAAGUAAUUCUGAUAUAGGUACAACCUGUAAUGAUUUAUAUAUUGAUGAAAAAGAUGGAACAAUUAUUAGUUUAGGAUCAUUUCUAAAUAGAUUUAAUUCCCAUGUUAUAAGCUUUCAAAUGUGGAUACAGGUUAUAAAUCUGUUUGAACUUGAACCUGGUCCAAUUUGUGUUAAAAAUGGAAAAAUUAUACCUCAUGACACUAAAAAAUUCAAAUGCUGUGACUCAUGUGUUAUUGUAAUUUGGUCUAAAACAGAACAAAUUGUAAAACGCAUAUGUCAUGGUGGUUAUGUUGGCAAUGGUAACAUAUUAACAUCAAGUUCUAUUUUUGAAAAUCUUGGUGAUGAUUAUAAGACAUUAGUAAUUUUUCCAAAUUAUUUUUAUUUUUAUAUCUAUUCGACUAUAUGGAUAAGAACUUAUCCAAACAAGCGUUUGGCUAAAAUUAUACUGCAGGGUUCCAUUGAUUCUCUACAAUUCCUAAAUAUAAAAACAAUUACAAAUCAAUUUGACAUAAAUGAUAGAAUUUAUUUUUUCAGUCGGCCCUCUGGCGAAUUACAAUUAAUUAGAGGCAAAAUUUUGCCACGCCCUUCAGACAGAUAUGACCUUUUAGAUAAUGAAUUUCUGAUUUCUGAAUCAGGGUUUGACGGAGACAUUGGAACCGAUAUUAUCUUAAUAAAACGUAAUUAUCCGAUUAUUGGGAAGUACAAUGGACAGUACACAUAUCAAUCCAAAACUUAUGGGCGGAUUGUGACUUUUCCUGAUUUUAUUUUAAAAGAAAACAAUGUUAUAUAUAACUAAUUUAUAAAAAUAAAUAAUGAUAUAUUAUUUUUCAACACAAAAAUUAUAGUUUAUUUUUAAAAAUAUUAACAAUAUUUUAAUACUAUUAAUAAGCCACACACCUUCAAAAUUAGGCUGAUUUGAGGCAAUUCAAUUUCGCAGUUCUGCUUGCAAGUUUGCAUGAAAUUUCCCAUUUUCAGUGGCAUUCCGAAGAGAGACCUUCUGCUGACCAUCUUGACACACUGAACAUCUGGAGGACUAGGACUUCUCCCAGUAAGCCUAUCUUUAUGUGGGCCGUGUGUUGAUCUGGACAAGGGCACACUGAACAUCUGGAGGACUAGGACUUCUCCCAGUAAGCCUAUCUUUAUGUGGGCCGUGUGUUGAUCUGGACAGGGGCACACUGAACAUCUGAGGACUAGGACUUUUCGCAGCCAGCUUGUGUGGACCAACCCCGGAACGAGGGGGACCUGCCUAUGGCACACUUCCUCAACGGAGCGGGUGAUGGCCUUUUUCUACAGGAGAAAAAGUGCAAGGCCACUUUUUAGUCCUAGUCCACCCCUGGAUCUGAAGGUUUCAUUUGGAAUGCAUCUUGGACAGAUUUUUUUUUUUCAUAAUUUUAACACAUCUUUAAAAGACAACAAGUGUAAAAAACAACAUCUGAACCUCCUCUACAGUACUUGGGGGAUGAUACUCGUCAUCUGGCUCUUUAGAUAACUUGUUGUCUUUUUAAUAUAUUACUUAUAUUGUCAGGCAUGACUUUUUUAUAAUUUGGAACUGAAUAGAAGUUUGAA